This 206-nucleotide long non-coding RNA is filed under the name Pogona vitticeps (central bearded dragon). Its description in RNAcentral is "lncRNA (ENSPVIG00000002863.1)". The record is from RNAcentral. Lineage: Eukaryota; Metazoa; Chordata; Lepidosauria; Squamata; Agamidae.
GGACAGUAAGUAUUGGAUGACAACCUAAAUAAUUUAAUGGCCUUGCAGUCAAAUUUAGAGGGAAGCAUCAGCUACUAAAGAAAAAAAGUGGGGCGGGGAGGGAAAACUGCAGUAUAUAAUAAGCAACAAAACAGAGAACAGAAAGGAAAACAGAGAAAUCAGAGAGGAAGCACCACUUAAGAGAAUGAGUACAGUUCAGUACUUGU